This 482-nucleotide ribosomal RNA is filed under the name uncultured bacterium. RNAcentral's name for it is "partial 16S ribosomal RNA". It matches the Rfam family "Bacterial small subunit ribosomal RNA", at positions 30 to 507 of the family's 1533-position model. The record is from RNAcentral.
AUUGAACGCUGGCGGCAUGCUUUACACAUGCAAGUCGAACGGUAACAGGCCGCAAGGUGCUGACGAGUGGCGCACGGGUGAGUAAUGCAUCGGAACGUGCCCAGUCGUGGGGGAUAACUACUCGAAAGAGUAGCUAAUACCGCAUACGAUCUAUGGAUGAAAGCGGGGGACCGUAAGGCCUCGCGCGAUUGGAGCGGCCUAUGUCAGAUUAGGUAGUUGGUGGGGUAAAGGCUCACCAAGCCAACGAUCUGUAGCUGGUCUGAGAGGACGACCAGCCACACUGGGACUGAGACACGGCCCAGACUCCUACGGGAGGCAGCAGUGGGGAAUUUUGGACAAUGGGCGCAAGCCUGAUCCAGCAAUGCCGCGUGCAGGAAGAAGGCCUUCGGGUUGUAAACUGCUUUUGUACGGAACGAAACGGCUCUGGUUAAUACCCGGGGCUAAUGACGGUACCGUAAGAAUAAGCACCGGCUAACUACGUG